Lutra lutra (Eurasian river otter) is the source of this 6105-nucleotide RNA transcript. It is a transcript of the gene named CDK5 regulatory subunit associated protein 2, with no coding region annotated. Lineage: Eukaryota; Metazoa; Chordata; Mammalia; Carnivora; Mustelidae. The transcript is spliced from 37 exons. The record is from RefSeq and is a predicted model, not a curated record.
AGCGCCGGGAAAGAUGGCGGCGUGUGCGGUUUGAAUUCCAGCGGCGCCGCCAAAGUCCGAACAAGAGCAGGAUUGGAGGGGGCGGGGACCUGGGGAGCCUGCGGGUCGCGACAGCGGGGGAACCAGUUGACCCCGCCGCCACAGACACCAACGCCACCACCUCCUCUGUGUCCACGAUGGACUCGGUGUUGGAAGAGGACGUCACCCUCCCCGGGACGCUCAGCGGCUGCAGUGGCCUUGUUCCCAAUUUACCGGACGAAGUGGAUGGCAUCAGUCCCAUUGCUGGUUUGGGAAGUGGUGUGCUCCCAAAUGUGUCAGAAGAAACGGUGUCUCCCACCAGAGCACGGAACAUGAAGGACUUUGAAAAUCAAAUCACUGAAUUGAAGAAAGAAAACUUUAAUCUAAAGCUCCGCAUCUAUUUCCUGGAGGAAAGAAUGCAACAGGAAUUUGACGGCCCAACCGAGCACGUCUAUAAAACUAACAUUGAACUCAAGGUGGAAGUAGAGAGUCUGAAGCGGGACCUCCAGGAAAGAGAGCAGCUGCUCAUCAAAGCCUCCAAAGCAGUUGAGAGCCUUGCCGAAGGAGGUGGCUCCGAAGUUCGGCGGGUGAGAGAGGAUGCCCAGAAGAAGGUGCGGCAGGUCGAAGAUCUCCUAACCAAGAAAAUACUGCAUUUGGAAGAGGAUGUGAAAGCUGCCCAAGCAGAACUGGAAAAGGCCUUUGCAGGGACGGAAACAGAGAAGGCUCUUCGGUUGAGCUUGGAAAAGAAGCUUUCAGAGAUGAAGAAGAAGCACGAGGGGGACUUGGACAUGGCUGUGGUCCUGGAGCAGAAAGACAGACUGAUUGAGGAGUUGAAGCUGUCUUUGAAGAGCAAAGAUGCUUUAAUUCAGUGCCUUAAAGAGGAGAAAUCUCAGAUGGUGUGUCCUGAUGAGAGGGUGUCAUCUGGGGAGCUCCGAGGACUCUCUGCUGCUCCGAGGGGAGACCAGGAGGGAGGAGCCGAGGCUGCACAAAUGGAGCGCCAGCAGGAGAGACACCGCUUUGAAGAGAGGAUCCAGGCACUUCAGGAGGACCUGAGAGAGAAGGAAAGAGAAAUUGCUACAGAAAAGAAAAAUAGUUUAAAGAGGGAUAAAGCCAUUCAGGGUCUAACCAUGGCAUUAAAGUCAAAGGAAAAAGAGGUGGAAGACCUUAACUCUGAGAUCGAAGAGCUCAGUGCUGCCUUUGCAGAAGUCACAGAGGCGCCCCUGAAGGCACAGACACAGAAAUUCCAGGGGUCUGAAAAUUAUGAGGCUGCUCUGUUAGAGAAGGCAGCCCUUCUAGCACAGCUGAACUCCGAAAACCUCAGCAAGAGUGCAGAGAACCACAGACUGCGAAGGAACAUUAAGAAGGUCACCCAGGAGCUGAGCACUCUGCAGCAGGAGAGGGAGAGGUUGGAGAAGGACUUGGAGGAAGCCCGUCGUGAGAGGAGCAGAGGCGACCACACCAUUCACGACCUUAGAAAUGAAGUUGACAAACUACGCGAUGAAGUGAAUGAAAGAGAGAAAGCCGUGGAGAAUCGUUACAAGAGUCUUUUGAGUGAAAGUAAUAAGAAAUUGCACAGUCAAGAACAAAUGAUCAGAAGUCUAACAGGAAGCAUCGAUCCAAAGGAUUUGUUGCUUCAGAAAUUCAGUGGAAAAGGUUCGGAAGCAGUACAGCAGACUUGUCCUUCACAGACUGGAGGGGAGCUCGGGGUCAGGACUGAGGGCUUCUCCGAAAAGUGCUCACAGCGGUCACCAGGCAGCAGCUGCAUCUUCUCGGAGGAAAAGCAGCAAUUAGACUAUGAAGAGCUGAUUCAGGUCUUGAAGAAGGAGCAGGACAUCUAUACACAUCUGGUGAAGUCUCUGCAGGACCCAGACAGUAUCAACAGCCUGCAGACUGAGUUAAACAGCAUUUUCGCUUUGCGGAAGCAGCUAGAGCAGGACGUACUCGCCUAUCGGGAUUUGCAAAGGACCCUGGAGGAGCAGAUCAGUGAAAUUCGGAGGCGGGAAGAAGAACCAUUUUCAUUUUAUAGUGAUCAAACUUCUUAUCUGAGUAUUUGCCUUGAAGAGCCCAAUCGGUUUCAAGUGGAACAUUUUUCUCAAGAAGAACUUAAGAAAAAGGUCAGUGACCUCAUACAGCUAGUAAAGGAACUGUAUACAGACAACCAGCACCUGAAGAAAACCAUUUUUGAUCUCUCCUGCAUGGGUUUCCAGGGAGGUGACAGACUUGAGUCGAUAGGACAAUCUGAGCUUCUGGCUAGCAAGGAGGACGAGGACAUGACCAGAACUGGAGAAGAUGACGAGCAUAAUUUCCUGAGUGACCAGCAUUUGGAGCAGAGUGACAAGGUCACGGAGGACUAUCCCAAAGCGGGCUGCAAAAACGGAUACUUGAGGCACACAGAUUCCAGUAUUCUAGACUACGAUGGAACCCGCAAACCUGGCUGCCCCGGAGACCAGAGUGUGGAAGAAGGCGAGCUCCUGAACCUGCUUGCCCCUUUCUUCAAUGAGAAGGCCACAUUGUUACUGGAAUCCAGGCCAGACCUUCUGAAAGUGCUGCGGGAACUACUCCUGGAACGAACGUGCUUGACAGAGCAGGGAGUGUCUGCACAACACCUUGAUGGUAAAACUGAGAAGUCCCUUAAGCAAAUGGCUGCUCAGCUAAGAGGUGAACUCAGACAUUUCAACCAAGUCAACUCAUUGUCCAAGUCCCGUGAUGAAGGGAAGUCGCCGCGGACAGCCCAGCUGGGAAGGACGGGUCAGGUGUCCAAGCCGGAGCUGAAAGAUGCCUCCGUGCAGACCGUGGCGGUGGAGGGGGACACGCGCAGUUUCCAGAACGAGGGCAAGAGAGAGGCGUGGGCAGAGAAGCCACCAGACGCCGUGUUUCACACUGAGGGUCCGCCGGAGAACUUGUGCGUGGCAUCAGGGCAGCAGGCCACUGCCCCUUCCUUCCCCAGCGGGACUGACAAAGAAGCUAAGAAGUCCCGCCUGCCCAUCCUGAUAAAGCCGUCCCGGUCAUUAGGAAAUGUGUAUCAGCUUCCCGUCACCCAGGAGGUGGUGGCCCAGCUGCAGGGUCAAGUCUUGGAGCUGCAGGGGGAGCUGAAGGAGUUUAAAAUGCACAAUAAGCAACUUCACCAAAAGUUAAUUCUGGCUGAAGCGAUGAUGGAGGGGAGGCCAGCGCCAGACAAAAUGCUACAGAAAGCCCAGCCCCUUGUGGGAUCAGCCUACCAGGACAGCCCAGGAGAGCAAAAGGAAAUUAAAACCAUGCCCUGUGACUGGAGAGACAAGGAAGGGGACAGUGACCAGCGCACCAGCUAUGAGACCGACUCUGAAAUUUGCCAGCCCGAUGGCCUUGCCAUCUUGCCAGCGUGCAGAGGGAAUCCUUCUGAAGACUUCCCAGGCCCGACCUCAGUAGCUGCCUACUCGAGUUCUAAGAACCUGCUUUCCACCAAAGUCAGUGUGAUUGGGACUCCUCAGUCCGAAAAAAUCGACACUUCAAGUGAUACAGACAACUUAAAACAGAAAAUCUGUGACUUGGAAACUGAGCUCGAGGGCUACCGGAAUUUCUUACUUCAGCUUCAAAAGCACUCCCAGUGCAGCGAGGCCAUUAUCACAGUUCUGUGUGGGACAGAGGGGGGCCAGGACGUCUUGAAAAAGCCCAAGGGUAGUACCGAUGAAGAAGAAAUGACAUUCUCAAGUUUGCACCAAGUCCAUUAUGUGAAGCGCAUGAAGAUCCUCCGUCAGCUGGCUCCAGAGGUGACCGACGGUGGGCUGCUGGAGGGCCUCAGACAGCAGCUGGUGGAACAGGAGCACGAGCUGCAGAGGGAGCAGAAUUUGAACAUGGAGCUUUUCAGUGAAAUCCAUAACCUGCAGAAUAAGUUCAGAGAUCUCUCACCCUCCAGGUACGAUUCAUUAGUUCAGUCCCAAGCCCGGGAGCUCUCCCUUCAAAGACAGCAGAUUAAGGAUAGCCACGGCAUCUGUGUCAUCUGCCGGCAACAUAUGAACGCCAUGAUCACGGCGUUCGAGCAGUUGCUUCAGGCCAGCGACGUGGAUCACUCCGUGGCCGAGGGUUUCCAGGAGCAGCUGAAUCAAUGUGCUGAGCUGCUCGAGAAAUUGGAAAAGCUGUUUCUCAACGGGAAAUCAGCUGAAGUGGACAAGAGCCCCCAGAACGAACCGAUGGAGAGGAUGGAAGAAGACGGUAUCACCUACCAGCACAUCCUCCCUGAGUCUCCUGAGCCAUCUGCCUCUCACGCAUUAUCCGACUGUGAAAUGUCGGAGAAGUCGUCCGUCCUCUCACAAGACCAGAAGCAAGACAGCGAGACCGGGAAGACCUCGGUCUUGACGAACCAUUUCUCUCAAGACUUAGUAAUGGAACAUAUUCAAGAAAUUCGAAGUCUGAGGAAACGUUUAGAAGAAUCUAUUAAGACAAACGAGAAGCUUCGUGGACAGCUGGAACGGCAGGGGUCUGAACUCGAUCCAGGUUCUACAAAUGCUUUUGCUUAUGGAUCAGAGCUGCACAAUUCUCUGACAUCAGAGAUCUGUUUCCUGAGGAAGCAGAACCAGGCUCUCAAUACGAUGCUGGCCAAGGGAUCCAGAGAUAAACAGAAGGAGAAUGAAAAGUUACGAGAGUCCCUCUCCAGGAAGGCUGCGAACCUCGAGCUCCUCCAGCGAGAGUAUGCCUGUGUGAAGGGGGAGAAUGAGCGGCUGCAGAGGGAGGUCUGCGAGCUGGAGCGGCACAACCAGCAGCUGCUCCGGGAGGUGGGCAGCAGCCGCAGUGAGCUGAGCAGGGUGCAGGAGGAGGCAAAGUUGAGGCAGCAGCUGCUCUCCCAGAACGACGAGCUCCUGCAGUCCCUCCGAGUGGAGCUGAAGGUGUACAAGAGGCUGGAGGAGGAGCACAGGAGGCCAAGAGAGGCCGGAGCAGAGACAUCAGGAGAAGGCUGGAGGGGGCAGGACCCUUUCAGUGACCUGCGUGGUCUCCUAACAGAGAUCCAGGCUCUUCGGGGGCAGCUGGAAAAGAGCAUUGAGACCAACAGCGCACUGCAGGGCAGGCUGGAGGAGCAGCUGGCGAUGGCAGGGAAGAAGGCUCAUGAAGCAGCCUUCACUGUGGCUCUCCACACCCUGUCCGUCCCGGAGUGGCCCCCGCAGCCGGACAAGCACGGCAGUGACACGUGCCCCACGGCGAGAGAUGAUUCCUGUGACCUGAUUGAUUCCACACUGGUGCCGCCGCCACGGUCAGCUUCAGAGACUCCUCCACUCUCUGGAAAUGACACGGACUCCCUCUCCUGCAACAGUGGCAGUUCGGUCACCAGCAACCCGUGUGUGUCCCACCUGGUUGCUGGCCACCGCCUGUGGGCCAACACGAGUGGCUGCCACGUCCUGGGCCUGACUGGGGACUACGAGGCCCUGUGUCAGCAGAUCGGCCAGGGCCAGAAGCUCUUUGCUGAGAUGGCCCUGCAGAUCCAAGAGGCUCCCCGGUCCGCAAGCCCAGAGCUGGGACCAAAGGGUCCACACUUGGCACCUCUGAGCAGGUUCAUCACCAGUGUGGGCACAGCCAAGCUGAUCCUCGAAGAGGCCGCGAGAUUAUUGACGCUUUUCUGGAGGGUCUCACUCCCCACAAAUGGCCAGUGCACGCUUCAGUGUGAACAGACCCCUGUCGAAGCAAACCAGGUUGUUUAUUGGCUUCUACUAAGAAGGUGCGGAGAUGAGCACCCAGGAACACAGGCAUCGUCGUGUACCCACAGAGUUAUUGCUGGGGGUACGCGCCCGAGCGUAGACUUGCUGGAUCAAAGGGUUAAGCGCAUCUUACAGUUUGGUUAAGUCUUGCCGGCCGUUCCACCUGCACCGUGCUAACUGGCAGACCCACCAGGCUCGUGAGUGCUCACCCCACACCCUGGCCCCGCUGGGUCUUGCCUGGUUUUACCAGUCUGACCAGCAGAGAAUGGCUUCUAGUUUCCAUUCAAAUAUUGCUGUUAGUAAGACUGGAGAAAUGAAGGCAGAGAUCACCAAACUACACAAAAAGCUGUUUGAACAAGAAAAGAAGUUGCAAAACUCUGUGAAGCUUUUGCAGCUGAGCAAGCACCAGGAAAAAGUCAUCUUU